This is a long non-coding RNA of Theobroma cacao (cacao), 460 nucleotides long. RefSeq lists it as uncharacterized. Lineage: Eukaryota; Viridiplantae; Streptophyta; Magnoliopsida; Malvales; Malvaceae. The record is from RefSeq and is a predicted model, not a curated record.
CAAAGGAAAAAUGUGAAAAUUCAAGGAAACAAGUGAAAAAGGUGGUGAAUCCUCCGCUAAGGGCAAAGAAAUUGUACUCGAGGAUCGGUAGUUAGAGUACUCUAGAAAUUCGACUCCCGAAAUAGCUCAGAAUAGGCUGUAGAUAGCUGGUUUCAUCGAGGCUACCAUUAGAUUUGCAUCCUCCAAACUGUUUCUGAGUAAAAGGUGACUGGAUCCUAGGACGAGGUGAUCCUCCCCAUCCAUUGUUCGGUAAGUUUGCCAUGAUACUAAGUGUUACCACCCACGCCUAGAGUCACUCCGCUGACAUUAAGAGUCUUUGAAUGUGUACAUGUAAACUGGAUGUGAUUUGCUAAGAAUCGUUUGGCAAACUUUUUAUGUAUAUUAAGAUUGAUGAAUCCCAUUAUGAGUAUAUAAUUGGAUUUUAUGAAUUGAUUUCAAUGAAGUUAUUAUUUGAACAUUA